This is a long non-coding RNA of Sycon ciliatum, 2070 nucleotides long. RefSeq lists it as uncharacterized. Lineage: Eukaryota; Metazoa; Porifera; Calcarea; Leucosolenida; Sycettidae. The transcript is spliced from 4 exons. The record is from RefSeq and is a predicted model, not a curated record.
UCUUGCUUGAUUCCAUACUUCUAGCGAUGAAUGAAUGACUGGAAUGAGGACACUACAUACACUGCUUAGUCACGUCGUUUACUAGGUUUUAGUGUUACUGUAGACUGUAGACUGUGUAUGUAGUGUCAGCUGUAUUACUUGACAGCUAGCUAUCGAGGUUUUUUUUAAAACUAAAUUGUCUGUCUUGUUACCCUGUUUGUCUCUUGAUGAGUUUGAGAGGUUGAGCGUCGCUGCGUGGAUGUGCUCGGCUUCCCAUGACUCAUUCAACAUUCAUGCUCAUCCGCUGGGCAGAGAACAGCGCAAGAAAGAACAGAGAGAGAGAGAGAACAGCGCAAGAAAUUAUUAUAAAAUGAUUGUGUCGGAACUGCAGCUGGCUUUCCAGCGCUUUGGAGAAGGAGAUGAGGAUUCAAAGUUUGCUACUCUGGAGGAAAGACUUGAAUGCACGCUACAUUGCCGAGUUUUGGAGUAAGCCUGCCACAAAUGUAGAGGAGCGCACGAGAGAAAGUUGUUAUCCUGGCAGGUGGAAUGCGACUGAACCAGUGCAAUGGGCGACACAUCGUGCGUCCGGAGGGCGGGCAAUGAGACUUGCAUCAGCUUGAAAUCGCUCACUCUUUUCUGUCAAUUGCCCGAUGUACCAAUAGAGGUUCACACGGGUCAAAUGGGGAUGACAGACCUCCACAUCAAGAGGAUACAGAUGUGGAACAAACUCACCACAUGUCAGGAAUGUCGGUUUUGCAAGAGCACGGAGCAACGUCUACUCAGCACCCAUCGUGAUGUCUGUACUAAGAGGCAAUGCAAGGCGAGGCGAGACUCACCGCCGAGAUCUGCUAAUGCGACAGGCUCGGUUGCCAUUCAAGAUUCACACCGCCCUGUCCGCCCGUCGACGGGAUCAACAGCGGGAUUGAUCAAACUGAGCUGCCGAUAUGAAACGUCCAUGUAGAACGUCAACCAAGCAGCCCUGACUGGAGUGAAUGCCCCGUCUGGCCUCUCGUUUGUCAGCGACUCACUGACUCACUGAUGUGGUGAACUAGCGGCCGCUGUAGCCACUGUACCGUACUGGUUUCCACUCCAAUGCACACCCACACACUGCACAUACAGUGAAAUCUGUCUAAGACGACCGCUCAAGGGACCAUCAAAAUGUGGUCUCUGUUACCAGGUGGUCUGCCUAUCCAGGGUAAUUUGACUGGAAGUAGCAUCCCUUGGUCCUGGUUGCAGUGGUCUUCUGCGACAGGUGGUCGCCUUAUCCGAGUGGUCGCCAUGACAGGUUUAACUGUAUACAUGAUUGUACAAGGCAUAUCCAAUGACCUGUUGCUACGGCGCUAUGAGUACACCUAUUUCUCCUUGUACAUAAUUAUUAUUAUUUAAAAGGUUUUAAAACUCAGCCAGAGUUGCAGCAAACUACGUUGUGAAGCCUUUACUUGUUUUGGUCCACCGUUGAUUGCUGUACAUGUGCAGUAUCUGUCAUGCUUCAAGUGUCAUGACUCAUGUAUUACUAGUAUGUACAUGUAUGUGACUGUAAUUAUUUAUAGAAUCAGAUUAUGAAGCAAAACAAGAGCCUGCGGUGUCGACUGGGCCGACCCAGGACAACUCUUCUCUCAGCUCUUUCCCAGGACUGCCUAGCCCGACUCGGCAUUCGCCUGGGUGCGCUCAUAGGCCUUAAUCAGCUGCGGCAGUUGGCAGAGGAUAAGCACGGUGGAAUGGCACCCCGCGGCACUCAUCUUCCUCUCCCGCAUAAUAUCCACUGCAGGGUGACCAUCAAUAUUAAACAGUCUACCGUCUUUCUGAUAUUGCCACUCGCACUUGACCAUAGAAGCAGCUUUCCAGUGUGCAGUUACAUUGAGCCAUGGUGUGUGCUUGUUUGUUUUUGUGAAUCCUUCCCAGAAGCAAAUGCUGGUUUUUAUACAUCGUUUACUCAGCUUUUAAAUAUUUGCAAUAACUUGGGAAUAGCUAAACUAAACAAUAAUGCUUGGUUUGACCACUACAGUCUACACUGUACAUCUACAGUGUACAUCUACAGUGUAGACUGUAGAUAACUGGUACUAAUAGGCGAUAGUGCACAGGUGGUGGGAU